This 468-nucleotide ribosomal RNA is filed under the name uncultured bacterium. Its description in RNAcentral is "partial 16S ribosomal RNA". It matches the Rfam family "Bacterial small subunit ribosomal RNA", at positions 28 to 507 of the family's 1533-position model. The record is from RNAcentral.
GACGAACGCUGGCGGCGUGCUUAACACAUGCAAGUCGAACGGAAAGGCCCUGCUUUUGUGGGGUGCUCGAGUGGCGAACGGGUGAGUAACACGUGAGUAACCUGCCCUUGACUUUGGGAUAACUUCAGGAAACUGGGGCUAAUACCGGAUAGGAGCUCCUGCUGCAUGGUGGGGGUUGGAAAGUUUCGGCGGUUGGGGAUGGACUCGCGGCUUAUCAGCUUGUUGGUGGGGUAGUGGCUUACCAAGGCUUUGACGGGUAGCCGGCCUGAGAGGGUGACCGGCCACAUUGGGACUGAGAUACGGUCCAGACUCCUACGGGAGGCAGCAGUGGGGAAUAUUGCACAAUGGGCGGAAGCCUGAUGCAGCAACGCCGCGUGCGGGAUGACGGCCUUCGGGCUGUAAACCGCUUUCGCCUGUGACGAAGCGUGAGUGACGGUAAUGGGUAAAGAAGCACCAGCUAACUACGUG